GAGAAACAAGUUGCGGGGCUCGGGGUUCGCCGCCCGUCCCCUCUCCCGUCUCUGUGCUACUGGAUCCUCUCACGCCCCGGCGAUCGCCGGCGGCCACGGGUCGUGACACGCGGCAACGAAGCAGGUACCCAUCUUUCUUCCUCCUUGUUCUGUUCUCUACCAGACGCAGUUCUCGGCCAGCCCUGCGUGAUCUCGGUAAGUGGAGCAAGAGCCUCAGCAUCGGUGUGGACGACCUGGUCGGCCAAUGCCUGUGCAAAGAAAUCAAGAACCGAGAUGUUUAGGAUUCGGACAGCCUCCGGAUCUCAAGAAGUACAUGGACAAGAAGCUUCAGAGUAAGUGAGAAUCUCUUGAUUCCAAACCCUAAAUCACAAAAAAUUAACUGUGGUCCUGCUUCCAAGUUCCUCGUGUACAUCCAGUUUCCUUUGAUUGUACGGAAGAACGUGCGUGUCAAGUCUGUUUUAGUCUGGUAGUGGUGAUUAGGCAUGUACCCGAUCUUUAGUAGAUCGACUAACUAUACCUCUAGCAGCAUUUCGAUAGUUGCUUCAAUGGCUCAUUUAAUCGCACUGUUUUAGAAAUUAUCGCUCGUUGUUAGCUUAGCCGAACCAAAUUUUGUUUUGUUUAUCCUGGUGUUACACUAGCAUCAUUGCUUUUGAGCUGAAAUAUCAAAGCUAUGGAGAUUGUUUGAUAUGCUUUUGGUAUUCCAAAUGUCCUAUAUGAUGAACACAAUAUAUCAAAGCUAUGUAUUUAUCUCCAGAUGAAGCUUUAUGUCAUAGUUACUCUGAUGGGAUAUUCACUCGCAAUUUCUUUUCAUCUUUAGAAUGGCAUACUGUGUCAAGAGUGUUCUGAUAGUUGCAUUGUAUUUAUUGACGAUUCUUUUGGUGGUCCGUAGUCAUACCUAUGGUGGAGUGGUAACUAUUCUAUUAUGAUCAUUGUCACGUUUUCUUUUAAUAUUUGUGGUUUUUCCCCAUUGUGAUUUGUGCUGGAUGGCUGCCCUGCAUGAAGAUGAUAUUAUAAAAAAGCUAUAGAUUAAUUUCAGAUGAGGGUUUUAUUGUCGUAGUUACUCUGGUAGGCUGCCAUAUCAGUAUUUUUUAAUUUAACCUACUUUUGUACAAAUUAGUCUAUUCGUUUAGGGAUCAGAUAGUCAAUCAGGUGUGUCUUCCCAGAUGAUUUACUCCAAGAUUUAUAAUUUGCCAUCUGUGAUUUUAAGUGUGAUGUGGCACUCUCUAAGCACGAAGAACAUUGUGAUGUUGGCAUUGAGGUAACUCUAUUCCCUGGCCAAUUAUGUUCCCAUUUCAAUCACAACAACAUUUGAUGUGAAAUCCCUACCUGCUACUUGUGAUUUGUGUCCUAGGGGCACACCACAGAGAAAAAGAAUCAAAGAAUAAGGGAACAGAAAGGGAGGAACUGGAAGGGAUGUGUGAAGGUGAACUCCUGUAGUUUUUUUUACAAAUAUCUGAAUUAUAUCCUAUUUUCUGUGUUGGUUCAUUGGGAAAAGCUCAGGCCCUUCCUACAGCUGGUGCUCCCAAUCUGAGGUAGACUGUUGAAACAAGCUUCAAAUAUGCAGAUUCAGCAAAGUUGUGCAGGCAUUGGCUACAGCUUUGGUUGGCCUUGUGGCCUGAAGGCAAGAGGCAUUGAGGAAGAUGCAAGUUCUGAGCUGUUGUGAUGCUAGAGAGCCGAGCACGAUGGAUAUAAGGAGGGGGUGUUUUUGUCCUUUUUUUUGCCAUAUAAAAGCAAAAUAAUAUUACAUGAAGAAUAGUGGAUCAUAUGUAUUUUCCAGUGUCACCUGAAUCUCCUUGCAUGUUAUUUUGCUUAGCUCUACGGUAGUUCAAGUUAAAUAGAUUCAUACUAACUAGAAGAUAAAAACAACUACCCUUGUGCUGCAAAUACAAUCGUUUGUGCAUAAUGGGAAAUAUUGUAAAAGCUGACUUGAAUUUUCCUUGUAUAUACUAUUUUAGAGUUCUGGCCUUCAGCUAAA
Panicum virgatum (switchgrass) is the source of this 1975-nucleotide long non-coding RNA. RefSeq lists it as uncharacterized. The transcript has 3 exons. The record is from RefSeq and is a predicted model, not a curated record. NCBI's taxonomy places the organism in Eukaryota, Viridiplantae, Streptophyta, Magnoliopsida, Poales, Poaceae.